Molecule: small nucleolar RNA, 101 nt
Organism: Magnolia sinica
Lineage: Eukaryota; Viridiplantae; Streptophyta; Magnoliopsida; Magnoliales; Magnoliaceae
Product: small nucleolar RNA R30/Z108
Exons: 1
Source: RefSeq, a predicted model, not a curated record
AAAGAUUGCGAUGAGGAUAACAAGCUCCCUCUUCUGAAAUAGGAUUGAAGAAGAUCGCUGGCAGAAUCGAACCUAAUACUCAAAAUGCCACGACUGAGCAA